Molecule: ribosomal RNA, 1352 nt
Filed under: Corynebacterium sp. HMSC074C03
Lineage: Bacteria; Bacillati; Actinomycetota; Actinomycetes; Mycobacteriales; Corynebacteriaceae
Description: bacterial LSU rRNA
Rfam family: Bacterial large subunit ribosomal RNA
Source: RNAcentral
UUUUGGGGAAGUUGGUGAUCCUAUGCUGCCGAGAAAAGCCUCUAGCGAUGUGGAUAUACGGCCCGUACCCGAAACCGACACAGGUAGUCAGGUAGAGAAUACUAAGGCGAUCGGGAUAACUGUGGUUAAGGAACUCGGCAAAAUGCCCCCGUAACUUCGGGAGAAGGGGGGCCAUGACUGGUGACCGACGUGGUUGAGCUGGUUGUGGCCGCAGAGAAUAGAGGGAAGCGACUGUUUACUAAAAACACAGGUCCGUGCGAAGACAUUUAAGUCGAGGUAUACGGACUGACGCCUGCCCGGUGCUGGAAGGUUAAGAGGACCUGUUAGAUCCCUUUGUGGGUCGAAGCGGAGAAUUUAAGCCCCAGUAAACGGCGGUGGUAACUAUAACCAUCCUAAGGUAGCGAAAUUCCUUGUCGGGUAAGUUCCGACCUGCACGAAUGGCGUAACGACUUCCCUGCUGUCUCAACCACAGGCCCGGCGAAAUUGCAGUACGAGUAAAGAUGCUCGUUACGCGCGGCAGGACGAAAAGACCCCGGGACCUUCACUAUAGCUUGGUAUUGGUGUUCGGUUCGGUUUGUGUAGGAUAGGUGGGAGACUGUGAUGCCUCAACGCCAGUUGGGGUGGAGUCGUUGUUGAAAUACCACUCUGAUCGUAUUGGACAUCUCAACCUCGGCCCGUGAUCCGGGUUAGGGACAGUGCCUGGUGGGUAGUUUAACUGGGGCGGUUGCCUCCCAAAGAGUAACGGAGGCGCCCAAAGGUUCCCUCAGCCUGGUUGGCAAUCAGGUGUUGAGUGUAAGUGCACAAGGGAGCUUGACUGUGAGACUGACAGGUCGAGCAGGUAGGAAACUAGGGACUAGUGAUCCGGCACCGGCUUGUGGAAGCGGUGUCGCUCAACGGAUAAAAGGUACCCCGGGGAUAACAGGCUGAUCUUCCCCAAGAGUCCAUAUCGACGGGAUGGUUUGGCACCUCGAUGUCGGCUCGUCGCAUCCUGGGGCUGGAGUAGGUCCCAAGGGUUGGGCUGUUCGCCCAUUAAAGCGGCACGCGAGCUGGGUUUAGAACGUCGUGAGACAGUUCGGUCUCUAUCCGCCGCGCGCGUAGAAACUUGAGGAAGGCUGUCCCUAGUACGAGAGGACCGGGAUGGACGUACCUCUGGUGUGCCAGUUGUCCCGCCUGGGGCAUGGCUGGUUGGCUACGUACGGAAGGGAUAACCGCUGAAAGCAUCUAAGCGGGAAGCCUGUUCCAAGAUUAGGUUUCUUUUGAGGUCCCCUAUAGAUGAUGGGGUUGAUAGGCCGGAUCUGGAAGCAUCGUAAGGUGUGGAGGUGACCGGUACUAAUAGACCAAACAUUCAACAC